This 75-nucleotide transfer RNA is filed under the name bacterium. RNAcentral's name for it is "tRNA-Val". It matches the Rfam family "tRNA". Rfam says of the family: Transfer RNA (tRNA) molecules are approximately 80 nucleotides in length. Their secondary structure includes four short double-helical elements and three loops (D, anti-codon, and T loops). The record is from RNAcentral.
GGGCUCGUGGCUCAAUGGUAGAGCGUACGGUUCACAUCCGUAAGGUCAUAGGUUCAAUUCCUAUCGAGCCCACAA